AGUAACGGCGAGUGAAGCGGCAACAGCUCAAAUUUGAAAUCUGGUCCCCUUUGGGGGCCCGAGUUGUAAUUUGAAGAGGAUGCUUUUGGCGAGGCGCCGUCCGAGUUCCCUGGAACGGGACGCCGCAGAGGGUGAGAGCCCCGUACGGUCGGACGCCGAGCCUCUGUAAAGCUCCUUCGACGAGUCGAGUAGUUUGGGAAUGCUGCUCAAAAUGGGAGGUAAACCCCUUCUAAAGCUAAAUACCGGCCAGAGACCGAUAGCGCACAAGUAGAGUGAUCGAAAGAUGAAAAGCACUUUGAAAAGAGAGUUAAAAAGCACGUGAAAUUGUUAAAAGGGAAGCGCUUGCGACCAGACUUGCGCCCGUCGGAUCAACCGUCGCUUGCGGCGGCGCACUCCGGCGGGCUCAGGCCAGCAUCAGUUCGCUCGGGGGGAGAAAGGCGGCGGGAAUGUGGCUCUUCGGAGUGUUAUAGCCCACCGCGUAAUACCCUCGGACGGACUGAGGACCGCGCGUAUGCAAGGAUGCUGGCGUAAUGGUCGUCAGCGACCCGUCUUGAAACACGGACCAAGGAGUCGUCCUAAUAUGCGAGUGUACGGGUGUCAAACCCCUGCGCGUAAUGAAAGUGAACGGAGGUGAGAGCUUCGGCGCAUCAUCGACCGAUCCUGAUGUUCUCGGAUGGAUUUGAGUAAGAGCAUAUUGGGCCGGACCCGAAAGAAGGUGAACUAUGCCUGUGUAGGGUAAAGCCAGAGGAAACUCUGGUGGAGGCUCGCAGCGGUUCUGACGUGCAAAUCGAUCGUCAAACAUGG
RNAcentral lists this ribosomal RNA (804 nucleotides) under Scopulariopsis macurae. Its description in RNAcentral is "LSU rRNA". It matches the Rfam family "Eukaryotic large subunit ribosomal RNA", at positions 82 to 914 of the family's 3401-position model. Lineage: Eukaryota; Fungi; Ascomycota; Sordariomycetes; Microascales; Microascaceae. The record is from RNAcentral.